This 546-nucleotide ribosomal RNA is filed under the name uncultured bacterium. Its description in RNAcentral is "bacterial SSU rRNA". It matches the Rfam family "Bacterial small subunit ribosomal RNA", at positions 774 to 1311 of the family's 1533-position model. The record is from RNAcentral.
AGUGAAUAGAUACCCGGGUAGUCCACGCUGUAAACGAUGUUCACUAGGUGUUGGGGGUAUUGACCCUCUCAGUGCCGUAGCUAAACGCAUUAAGUGAACCGCCUGGGAAGUACGGUCGCAAGACUAAAACUCAAAGGAAUUGACGGGGGCCCGGCACAAGCGGUGGAGCAUGUGGUUUAAAUUCGAUGCAACGCGAAGAACCUUACCUGGGCUUGACAUCCCAAGAAUCCCCUGGAAACAGGGGAGUGCCCUUCGGGUAGCUUGGAGACAGGUGCUGCAUGGCUGUCGUCAGCUCGUGUCGUGAGAUGUUGGGUUAAGUCCCGCAACGAGCGCAACCCUUGCCUUUAGUUGCCAUCAUUCAGUUGGGCACUCUAAAGGGACUGCCGGUGUCAAACCGGAGGAAGGUGGGGAUGACGUCAAGUCCUCAUGGCCUUUAUGCCCAGGGCUACACACGUGCUACAAUGGGCGGUACAAAGAGCAGCGAGCUCGCGAGAGUAAAGCAAACCCUCAAAAACGCCGUCCUCAGUUCGGAUUGGAGUCUGCAAC